Callithrix jacchus (white-tufted-ear marmoset) is the source of this 2877-nucleotide long non-coding RNA. The record is from Ensembl. NCBI's taxonomy places the organism in Eukaryota, Metazoa, Chordata, Mammalia, Primates, Cebidae.
AAAGUAAAGAGCACCAACAUAAAGAAGAAUUUACACCAACAAAUGGAUAAAACAGCCAGUCAACAUCAAAUGGCAGUAACCCUAAAUUUAAAUUGACUGAAUUCCCAAUCAAAAAACACAGCCAAAACCCAAUGUCAUGUUACAUCCAGAACUGUUUCACAUGCAAGGAUACACAAAGACUCAAAACAAAGGGUUGGAGAAAGAUUUACCAACCAAAUGGAGAGCAAAAAUAAAUAAUAAAUAAAUAAAAAGCAGGAGUUGCAAUUCUUGUAUCGGAUAAAAUAGAUUUUAAAGCAACAAAGAUAUAGUGGUAAAAGGAUCAAUGCAACAACAAGAGCUAACGAUCCUAACACCCAGAUACAUAAAGACUUAGACUCAAUGAGACAGAAAAUUAAUAAGGAUAUCAAGGACUCGAACUCAGAUCCGGAACAAGUAAACUUAAUCAAUAUUCAUAGAGCUCUCCACUUCAAAUACACAAAAUAUACAUUCUUGUCAAUACCACAUCACACCUACCCAUUAGUUUAAAUAAAACAUUGAUUGGCCAUUAUUAAUACCCAAUUUUUUUCAAAAUAAAGCAAUAUUUCCAUUUACUCUCCCUCUUUCUCUUCCUCUUUCUUCCUCUCCUUUACUUAUUAUUUUUUUUCUUUCCUUCUCUCAAAAAAAAAGAAAUCAACUUGUAAACCUCUAGAUCCAGGUCGGCAAUGUCUCUUUCAUUGCUUGAUUUCCUUUCUUCCCUUCCCUCCCUCCCUCCCUCCCUCCCUCCCCGCUUCCUCCCUUCCUUCCUUCCUUCAUCCCUUCCUUCCUCCCUACCGUCCUUCUUCCCUUCCUUCCUGCCUUCCUCCCCCCGCCCCAAAAAAAAAAAAAAAAGUAGAGCUGCUUGAUUUGAAGCUGGGCGGGGAGGCCUGGAGCCCACACUGCUCCUACCUCCACCCCCUCAUUGAUUGGGGAAGCCUCUGUAAACAUGCGUUUUAAGCACCACCUGGCUUGUCCUGUCAUUUCCUCUUCUCUUUAUCUCCAGUUCCCAGAAAAGGAAAAUUUCCGAGCUGGCUUUUUAGAGCUAUUGCUGAUAAGAGCUGACCAUGAAAACCUUCCAAAAAUUGACAUCUGGGCCCAAAAGUUUAUCUUCCCCUUUGUUUAUUUUUCUUUAUCUGUCCAUGUGCCUUAGCUGGAAAUGGGGCUUGCAGCUCCUGCCCAGGACUUACUCCGCUCUUCACUUCUGGAAGGGGCACUGGUUUGGGAGCAGCUGCUCUAGACAAACAGUGAGGCUGCCACUAGCAUGAUGAGCCCUGGUCUCUAGGGGACACAGGGAGAGGCUCCUGGUUUCUCCCCUCCUGUGGUCUCUCCAAGGUCCCUGACCUGUUGGAUUCCGUGGACUCUCGUCUGUCAUUAGUGGGCAGUGAUUACUUAGAGAAAAACCAUUUGCACAAACCAGUUAAUGCCCAGACUCAGCCCGGGUGCUGCUACCCAGCUGACUCUAUCCUCUUAAAGAGCCACACUGACCAUUUUCUCCUGCCGUCAAGGGUAGAGGUGUUGGGGAAUGUGUUCCUGCCUUGAGAGCAAACCACUUAAGGUACAAACCUGACUUUCUCACUCUCUUGCCCAUAGAUGGCGCCCCAUCACCUGUAGCGCUCCCAUUCCAGUGGAUUUUGAUUGAGCCAGGAGUCCGCUCAGGAAUUCCUAUUUUUAACAAGCUUCUAGGUGACCAGCUGUCCCAGUGUACCUGGGACUGAGGUGUUUUCCAGCACUUGGAGCUUUCAGUGCUAAAACUAGAGAAGUCCUGGGCCAAAUUGAAUGAGUUCGUCAGCCUGUUUCUGGAUAAUUGUGAUUUUCAGCAGGAGUCUGCAGACUACAGCCCACAGGCCAAUCCAGCUCUCCACCUGUUUUUAUAAACAAAGUUUUAUCGGAAUAUAGUCAUGCUCACUGAUUCACAUAUUGACUAUGGUUACUUUCUUGCUAUAGUAGUAGAGUUGAGUAGUUGCAACAGAGAGGCUAUGACUCAAGAAACCUAAAAUAUGUAUUAUUUGCCCCUUUGCAGAAAAUAUUUGCAGACUCCAACAAUUUAAUCCCUUUAUCGCGAGUUGGCUGCCUCCCUCUCCGGCCCAAUCUCCACAAUUGCCUUCUUCACUCUGAUGGCACGAGGCAUAGUCAUGUAUUUAUUGUUCCAGAAAAGAGCCAAAUGCUCUUCCUUAUACAUGUUUCUUUUUCCACAUGCUGUUCCCUCUACCCGGAAUGCCCUCCUCGCCACUGCGCUUGACUAAUUCCUUCUGGACCACAAGUCAGGCAGACCCUUCUCCAGGAGUUCUGCCCUGUCUCUGUCCCCAGCCCACAGCCAGGUCCGCUUGCAAGUGAAGCCUCCUGCAAACCUCUCAAUCGUGGCACUCCCCACACUGUUCCAGCGUUGCUUGCCGAGUAGUUUCUUUAUGAGAGCCUUCAGAAAAAACACUGUGGAAUAUUCACUUUAUGACUCCGUUCCUUAGCUUGACUCUUAGCAUGGAAGAAACUCAGGAAAUAUUUGCUGAAUUGUGAAUAUAUAAAAUGGGAAUGAGAAUUUUCCUAAGGUACUUAUCUGUUUGUGUAUUUUAGCUAUAAACUUAGGUUGUGGCUCCUGCCCAGAACUCACACCCUCUUCUCUUCUGGAAGGGGCACUGGUUUGAGUGUGGCUUCUCUAGACAGUGAGGUCCCCCUCAGCCUGGUGGGCCCUGGUCUUGCAUGUGGAUAAUAUAAUAUUCCCUCCAGUGUGGAAAUAUAUGGUAGCUAUUGACUGGGAGUGGUGGCUUUGGGAGUAUAUUUUUCUGGUCACAAUAAGAGUUGGAAAACUGGGAGUUGGGGAUUUUUUUUUUUUCUGAGAAUAACUUUUGCUUUCUUAGAAAACUAAAG